UGGGGAAUUUUGGACAAUGGGCGCAAGCCUGAUCCAGCCAUGCCGCGUGCGGGAAGAAGGCCUCGGGUUGUAAACCGCUUUUGUCAGGGAAGAAAUCUUCUGAGUUAAUACCUCGGGAGGAUGACGGUACCUGAAGAAUAAGCACCGGCUAACUACGUGCCAGCAGCCGCGGUAAUACGUAGGGUGCAAGCGUUAAUCGGAAUUACUGGGCGUAAAGCGUGCGCAGGCGGUUUUGUAAGACAGAGGUGAAAUCCCCGGGCUCAACCUGGGAACUGCCUUUGUGACUGCAAGGCUUGAGUGCGGCAGAGGGGGAUGGAAUUCCGCGUGUAGCAGUGAAAUGCGUAGAUAUGCGGAGGAACACCGAUGGCGAAGGCAAUCCCCUGGGCCUGCACUGACGCUCAUGCACGAAAGCGUGGGGAGCAAACAGGAUUAGAUACCCCUGGUAGUCCACGCCCUAAACGAUGUCAACUGGUUGUUGGGAAGGUUCCUUCUCAGUAACGUAGCUAACGCGUGAAGUUGACCGCCUGGGGAGUACGGCCGCAAGGUUGAAACUUAAAUGAAUUGACGGGGU
Molecule: ribosomal RNA, 571 nt
Filed under: uncultured bacterium
Lineage: Bacteria
Description: partial 16S ribosomal RNA
Rfam family: Bacterial small subunit ribosomal RNA
Source: RNAcentral